Molecule: unclassified non-coding RNA, 1106 nt
Filed under: Ooceraea biroi (clonal raider ant)
Lineage: Eukaryota; Metazoa; Arthropoda; Insecta; Hymenoptera; Formicidae
Description: methyltransferase-like protein 2-A, transcript variant X2
Source: RNAcentral
AUUGUGCUAGCGAUUCGUUUAUGCAUUAAUAUUCAUGCGACUGACGUGCAAUUUUCCAUCUCUUUUUUUUUAGACCUUUUAGACUUUAGACGCUGUCAAGUGCUUGUUUCAAUCUCAUAUGGUCGCGCCAUUUCACCGGCACAUUUUCAAACAUGGCCGAGAGAACAACGAGCGACGACGAUCGCGAGAUGGAGAGACCGCAAUUUGGAACGCGAAAUUUACCUUCCCAUGGGGACGUUUUUCAACACAAUACAUGGGACAAUGUUACAUGGAACGAGGAACAAGAGAAAUGGGCGCAAGAGAAAGUGGAUGAGAAUUCUGCUGUCACAGUAUCAUCUGAUCAACUUCUGAAAUAUGAGACUGAAGCAGAUAAAUAUUGGGACAAGUUUUAUGGGAUACAUAACAAUGGAUUUUUUAAGGACAGACAUUGGUUACUGAUCGAGUUUCCCGAAUUGGCUCCCAAUACAGUUAAACAGAAUAUUGAUAGACCCAUAAGAGCUGCACUUACGGACGAAGAAAGAAGUCAUGGAGAGAGGCACAUAAAAAUUCUCGAUUUACCAUGUAACGAAGGUUGCAAAAUAUUGGAAAUAGGAUGUGGUGUUGGAAACACCGUGUUUCCUGUACUCGUAUAUAACAUAGAUCCAAAAUUAUUUGUAUAUUGUUGCGAUUUCUCCGCGAAAGCUAUCGAUAUACUGCAGCAGAAUCCUGCUUACGAUGUAAGCAGGUGUAAAGCAUUUGUGCUUGACGCAACUCAGGAGACGUGGGCGACCCCUUUUGAACCUGAAAGCCUGGACAUUAUCGUUCUUAUAUUCGUACUAUCUGCUAUCCAUCCUGACAAAAUGCAGCACGUUGUACAGCAGAUGCAUAAGUACCUGAAACCGGGGGGAAUAGUGUUGUUCCGCGAUUACGGCAGAUACGAUCUUGCACAAUUGCGAUUUAAGAAAGGCAGUUGUCUCGGCGAGAACUUUUAUGUGCGUGGCGACGGCACGCGAGUGUAUUUUUUCAAACAAGCGCUGGGAAGAAAGUAGAACGAGAGGCGUGGCUUGCAAAACGGAUAGAUAAUUAAAAUUUCUCAUCCGGAUAAUGAAGUUAAAUCUCACACGAGA